RNAcentral lists this long non-coding RNA (803 nucleotides) under Homo sapiens (human). Its description in RNAcentral is "HSALNT0202533". Lineage: Eukaryota; Metazoa; Chordata; Mammalia; Primates; Hominidae. The record is from RNAcentral.
CCCGGUUUCCGCUCGCGCCUCUCCCUCCACACCUGCCCACAAGCUGAGGGAGCCGGCUCCGGCCUUGGCCAGCCCGGAAAGGGGCUCCCACAGUGCAGCGGCAGGCUGAAGGGUUCCUCAAGUGCCGCCAAAGUGGGAGCCCAGGCAGAGGAGGCGCCAAGAGCGAGCGAGGGCUGUGAGGACUGCCAGCACGCUGUCACCUCUCAGUACCACCAAUAUCAUGAUUAUUGAAUGAGGUUGCCUUGAUAAUUCUGCUGAUCUUGCCUGGCUUUACUAAUGUGCCUGAGGUUGUCUAGAAGAUGAAAUGGAAUGGGUGGAUUUGGUGGAAUAGGUGGAUUCGGUGGAAUGGAUGGAUUCAGUGGAAUGGGAUGAAGCCAACUCAAGUGAUUAACCUGGAAGUAAAAUUAAAGUGAUUAAGGACUAUAAAAAUGGAAAAUCAGUGAUGGUUGGUUAUUACUCACCAGUCAGACAUGUGCUAUUCCACCAUGGCGACAAUUUUGAAGAACAAGAAUCAAGUGAUGAAAGAUGUUAAAGGACCUGCUUUAUUGAAGAUAAGGAGACACAAAAUUUAAUAAAGGCUUAUCUCAGAUACAGAGAAAUUUCUAAUGACCUAGAUUGAAAACCACACACAUAAAUACAUAUCUCUCAGCAUCAUGACAAUCAGGCAAAAGCGCAAAAGCAAAAAGUUUGUUUGCAGUGAGCAAAGUAAAGGCCGUACUCUACUAUAAAAUUGAGUUUACUGCUAGCUCUGGGUGGUAUAAAUGAUUCAAUAAUUGCGAUGCUUUGGAUAAUGUGAAAGCGAG